RNAcentral lists this ribosomal RNA (525 nucleotides) under uncultured bacterium. RNAcentral describes it as "bacterial SSU rRNA". It matches the Rfam family "Bacterial small subunit ribosomal RNA", at positions 355 to 897 of the family's 1533-position model. The record is from RNAcentral.
UGAGGAAUUUUCGGCAAUGGGGGCAACCCUGACCGAGCAACGCCGCGUGCAGGACGAAGGUUUUCGGAUCGUAAACUGCUUUUCUUGGGGACGAGCAAGGACGGUACCCAAGGAAUCAGCCCCGGCUAACUACGUGCCAGCAGCCGCGGUAAUACGUAGGCAGCAAGCGUUGUUCGGAGUUACUGGGCGUAAAGAGUGCGUAGGCGGUCUCGUAAGUUUGUUGUGAAAUCUCCCGGCUCAACUGGGAGGGUGCGGCGAAAACUGCGGGGCUUGAGUGUGGGAGAGGUAAGCGGAAUUCCUGGUGUAGCGGUGAAAUGCGUAGAUAUCAGGAGGAACACCGGCGGUGUAGACGGCUUACUGGACCAUGACUGACGCUGAGGCACGAAAGCGUGGGGAGCAAACAGGAUUAGAUACCCUGGUAGUCCACGCCCUAAACGAUGCACACUUGGUGUGAGCGAUUCAUUUCGUUCGUGCCGGAGCUAACGCGUUAAGUGUGCCGCCUGGGGAGUACGGUCGCAAGGCUGC